ACGAACGCUGGCGGCGUGCCUAAUCCAUGCCAGUAGAACGCUGAAGGAGGAGCUUGCUUCUCUGGAUGAGUUGCGAACGGGUGAGUAACGCGUAGGUAACCUGCCUGGUAGCGGGGGAUAACUAUUGGAAACGAUAGCUAAUACCGCAUAAUAGCAGUUGUUGCAUGACAACUGUUUGAAAGGUGCAAAUGCAUCACUACCAGAUGGACCUGCGUUGUAUUAGCUAGUUGGUGGGGUAAAGGCUCACCAAGGCGACGAUACAUAGCCGACCUGAGAGGGUGAUCGGCCACACUGGGACUGAGACAUGGCCCAGACCCCUGCGGGAGGCAGCAGUAGGGAAUCUUCGGCAAUGGACGGAAGUCUGACCAAGCAACGCCGCGUGAGUGAAGAAGGGUUUCGGAUCGUAAAGCUCUGUUGUAAGAGAAGAACGAGUGUGAGAGUGGAAAGUUCACACUGUGACGGUAUCUUACCAGAAAGGGACGGCUAACUACGUG
RNAcentral lists this ribosomal RNA (494 nucleotides) under uncultured bacterium. RNAcentral describes it as "partial 16S ribosomal RNA". It matches the Rfam family "Bacterial small subunit ribosomal RNA", at positions 29 to 507 of the family's 1533-position model. The record is from RNAcentral.